CCCUUAGAUGUUCUGGGCGGCCCGCGCACUACAAUGGCGCUUUCAGCGAGUUCCUAUGUUGAAUUUUCCUGGGUAUUCUUGGAAGCGGCGUCUUGACUUGGGAUAGAUCCUUGUAAUUGUUGGUUUUGAACGAGGAAUUCCUUGUAAUCGCGGUUGAUCAGCUCGCGUUGAAUACGUCCCUGCCCUUUGUACACACCGCCCGUCGCUCCUACCGAUGAAUCGUCCGGUGAAGCCUCGGGAUUGUGGUUCUUGCCGCUUUAUUGUGGCGUGACCGCGAGAACUUGUCUAAACCUUAUCAUCUAGAGGAAGGUGAAGUCGUAACA
Molecule: ribosomal RNA, 323 nt
Filed under: uncultured eukaryote
Lineage: Eukaryota
Description: partial 18S ribosomal RNA
Rfam family: Eukaryotic small subunit ribosomal RNA
Source: RNAcentral